GUCCGUGGAAUGAGUGUUAUUAUUAUUACUGCUUCUACGGAGAUGGGCCUGUUCUUUUCAUCUCCAUCUCUGAUGCUCAAACUCCACCCUCCGUCCACCCCACCUCUCCGUCUCUUGGAACACUCCGCAACCACUGUGCAUAUUAAAUGAUGCCUGGCAUGCUCCUCUCUUUGUUUGAGCAAAGUUAAGGAAAUGGAGUGGGAGAGAAAGUGAGAGAGAGAGAGAGAGGGAGGGAGGAUGACACAAACUGAGUAACGAAGAAGCUUUUAGUCCUCCGCACAAAGUUCUACUUGUGCGCCACUAGUGGAUGCUUAUUACCGACACCGAGCAGGAAAGUGAGUGGGAGGCUCGUCGUCGGCAAAGUAUUACUUUUUUGUUUUAAUGCAAGCCUUGGAUAGUAAUGUGCGUGCUUUGACGUGGAUGAGCAAACUUUUGGAGGAUUUUUGCUUUUACUCUUCCAGUUGGGAUCUACAGAAUGGAUGCCUUCCGCUGAGAGAAUGGUAAUCUGAAUUCAAGCGGAGUGAAUAAUUCAAGAGUGAAGGGGAAAGCAGAGAGAUCUGAUUCACCAGUCUGUGAGGGGACUACAGGCGACAUGGUUCGGGAAUCAGGGGAUGGGGAGGAGCGUCGGCUGAGAAGCAGUGCAAAGGGACUUCCUGUGGAACCUCCUCCUGAUGCACAAAGUGCUGGCAAAUACACAAGACACAGAAG
Molecule: long non-coding RNA, 708 nt
Organism: Lytechinus pictus (painted urchin)
Lineage: Eukaryota; Metazoa; Echinodermata; Echinoidea; Temnopleuroida; Toxopneustidae
Exons: 5
Source: RefSeq, a predicted model, not a curated record